UACGGGGGGUGCGAGCGUUGUCCGGAAUCACUGGGCGUAAAGGGCGCGUAGGUGGUUUGAUAAGGGUGUGGUGAAAGUCCGGGGCUCAACCUCGAGAUGUCGGCGGAAACCGUCUGGCUAGAGUCCGGAAGAGGAGAGUGGAAUUCCUGGUGUAGCGGUGAAAUGCGCAGAUAUCAGGAAGAACACCGGUGGCGAAGGCGGCGAUCUGGACGAUGACUGACGCUGAGACGCGAAAGCGUGGGGAGCAAACAGG
This 253-nucleotide ribosomal RNA is filed under the name uncultured bacterium. RNAcentral's name for it is "partial 16S ribosomal RNA". It matches the Rfam family "Bacterial small subunit ribosomal RNA", at positions 524 to 776 of the family's 1533-position model. The record is from RNAcentral.